Molecule: ribosomal RNA, 342 nt
Filed under: uncultured Streptococcus sp.
Lineage: Bacteria; Bacillati; Bacillota; Bacilli; Lactobacillales; Streptococcaceae
Description: bacterial SSU rRNA
Rfam family: Bacterial small subunit ribosomal RNA
Source: RNAcentral
UGGUGCAUGGUUGUCGUCAGCUCGUGUCGUGAGAUGUUGGGUUAAGUCCCGCAACGAGCGCAACCCCUAUUGUUAGUUGCCAUCAUUCAGUUGGGCACUCUAGCGAGACUGCCGGUAAUAAACCGGAGGAAGGUGAGGAUGACGUCAAAUCAUCAUGCCCCUUAUGACCUGGGCUACACACGUGCUACAAUGGUUGGUACAACGAGUUGCGAGUCGGUGACGGCGAGCUAAUCUCUUAAAGCCAAUCUCAGUUCGGAUUGUAGGCUGCAACUCGCCUACAUGAAGUCGGAAUCGCUAAUAAUCGCGGAUCAGCACGCCGCGGUGAAUACGUUCCCGGGCCUU